RNAcentral lists this ribosomal RNA (473 nucleotides) under uncultured bacterium. Its description in RNAcentral is "bacterial SSU rRNA". It matches the Rfam family "Bacterial small subunit ribosomal RNA", at positions 329 to 793 of the family's 1533-position model. The record is from RNAcentral.
CGCUAUCAUCCUACGGGAGGCAGCAGUGGGGAAUAUUGCACAAUGGGCGCAAGCCUGAUGCAGCCAUGCCGCGUUGUAUGAAGAAGGCCUUCGGGUUGUAAAGUACUUUCAGCAGUGAGGAAGGUGUUGUCGUUAAUAGCGGCAUCAUUUUGACGUUAGCUGCAGAAGAAGCACCGGCUAACUCCGUGCCAGCAGCCGCGGUAAUACGGAGGGUGCGAGCGUUAAUCGGAAUUACUGGGCGUAAAGCGCAUGCAGGUGGUUUGUUAAGUCAGAUGUGAAAGCCCGGGGCUCAACCUCGGAAUUGCAUUUGAAACUGGCAGACUAGAGUACUGUAGAGGGGGUAGAAUUUCAGGUGUAGCGGUGAAAUGCGUAGAGAUCUGAAGGAAUACCGGUGGCGAAGGCGGCCCCCUGGACAGAUACUGACACUCAGAUGCGAAAGCGUGGGGAGCAAACAGGAUUAGAUACCCUGGUAG